GACAGAGGGUGCAAACGUUGUUCGGAUUCAUUGGGCGUAAAGGGUGCGUAGGUGGCGCUGUAAGUCGGGUGUGAAAUUUCGGAGCUUAACUCCGAAACUGCAUUCGAUACUGCGGUGCUUGAGGACUGGAGAGGAGACUGGAAUUCAUGGUGUAGCAGUGAAAUGCGUAGAGAUCAUGAGGAAGACCAGUGGCGAAGGCGGGUCUCUGGACAGUUCCUGACACUGAGGCACGAAGGCCAGGGGAGCAAACGGG
This 253-nucleotide ribosomal RNA is filed under the name uncultured bacterium. Its description in RNAcentral is "partial 16S ribosomal RNA". It matches the Rfam family "Bacterial small subunit ribosomal RNA", at positions 524 to 776 of the family's 1533-position model. The record is from RNAcentral.